Molecule: ribosomal RNA, 427 nt
Filed under: uncultured bacterium
Lineage: Bacteria
Description: bacterial SSU rRNA
Rfam family: Bacterial small subunit ribosomal RNA
Source: RNAcentral
UGGGGAAUUUUGGACAAUGGGCGCAAGCCUGAUCCAGCAAUGCCGCGUGCGGGAAGAAGGCCUUCGGGUUGUAAACCGCUUUUGUCAGGGAAGAAACGAGUUUCUCUAAUACAGAGACUUAAUGACGGUACCUGAAGAAUAAGCACCGGCUAACUACGUGCCAGCAGCCGCGGUGAUACGAAGGGUGCGAGCGUUAAUCGGAAUUACUGGGCGUAAAGCGUGCGCAGGCGGUUAUAUAAGACAGAUGUGAAAUCCCCGGGCUCAACCUGGGACCUGCAUUUGUGACUGUAUAGCUAGAGUACGGUAGAGGGGGAUGGAAUUCCGCGUGUAGCAGUGAAAUGCGUAGAUAUGCGGAGGAACACCGAUGGCGAAGGCAAUCCCCUGGACCUGUACUGACGCUCAUGCACGAAAGCGUGGGGAGCAAACA